AGUGAACGCUGGCGGCAGGCCUAAUACAUGCAAGUCGAACGGCAGCACAGCAGAGCUUGCUCUGUGGGUGGCGAGUGGCGGACGGGUGAGGAAUACGUGGGAAUCUGCCCAGUCGUGGGGGAUAACGUAGGGAAACUUACGCUAAUACCGCAUGCGCCCUUCGGGGAAAGCCGGGGGACCUUCGGGCCUGGCGCGAUUGGAUGAGCCCACGUCGGAUUAGCUAGUUGGCGGGGUAAAGGCCCACCAAGGCGACGAUCCGUAGCUGGUCUGAGAGGAUGAUCAGCCACACUGGAACUGAGACACGGUCCAGACUCCUACGGGAGGCAGCAGUAGGGAAUAUUGGACAAUGGGCGCAAGCCUGAUCCAGCCAUGCCGCGUGAGUGAAGAAGGCCCUCGGGUUGUAAAGCUCUUUGUCCGGAAAGAAAAGCGCCGGGUUAAUACCCUGGUGUCCUGACGGUACCGGAGAAUAAGCACCGGCUAACUUCGUGCCAGCAGCCGCGGUAAU
Molecule: ribosomal RNA, 505 nt
Filed under: uncultured bacterium
Lineage: Bacteria
Description: bacterial SSU rRNA
Rfam family: Bacterial small subunit ribosomal RNA
Source: RNAcentral